GUUUUAGUAGUUUAUAUAAAAACACUGGUCUUGUAAAUCAGAAAUAAGAUACCUCUUCUAAAACU
RNAcentral lists this transfer RNA (65 nucleotides) under Conocephalus differentus. RNAcentral describes it as "tRNA-Thr". It matches the Rfam family "tRNA". Rfam says of the family: Transfer RNA (tRNA) molecules are approximately 80 nucleotides in length. Their secondary structure includes four short double-helical elements and three loops (D, anti-codon, and T loops). The record is from RNAcentral. Lineage: Eukaryota; Metazoa; Arthropoda; Insecta; Orthoptera; Tettigoniidae.